UUUAAGAUCGAGUUCAUAUCCUGUAUAGAAAUAUGACAAAUAUGGAUGUUUUCUAAUCUUCAUCUCAGUGUAUUCAUGCUCCAACAAUGAUAUAAUUAUGAUAAGAUAUGAUUAUCAUAGUAAUGAUGUUAGUAGCAGCCAACUCUUGAGGGCGCUUUUCUGUUUUACAAUCCAACAUGGCAGCCUCCUUGAGUGUUUUCUGCUGUGUUGUUUUCAGCCCAUCACGUUGACAUCCAUACUGCAGCAGGCCUAAUUAUAUAGAAAGGUUGAAAGGCGGUCAUAAUUUUUCCUUGGAAGCCUAGCCUAUACAGCCUGGAGCCCUGGUUCUUGUGAUAAUAAUAACAGCUCUCACCACGACACUACAAUUCACGUGUAUCCAGUACCACAUGGUAGGCCUAUCAAAAAAUAGUCACAGAAUCAGAUUGUAUUCAUUGAAGA
Molecule: long non-coding RNA, 438 nt
Organism: Patiria miniata (bat star)
Lineage: Eukaryota; Metazoa; Echinodermata; Asteroidea; Valvatida; Asterinidae
Exons: 3
Source: RefSeq, a predicted model, not a curated record